CCUACGGGAGGCAGCAGUGAGGAAUAUUGGUCAAUGGACGAGAGUCUGAACCAGCCAAGUAGCGUGAAGGAUGACUGCCCUAUGGGUUGUAAACUUCUUUUAUCUGGGAAUAAAAUGUUCCACGUGUGGGAUUUUGUAUGUCCCAUAUGAAUAAGGAUCGGCUAACUCCGUGCCAGCAGCCGCGGUAAUACGGAGGAUCCGAGCGUUAUCCGGAUUUAUUGGGGUUAAAGGGAGCGUAGGUGGAUUGUUAAGUUAGUUGUGAAAGUUUGCGGCUCAACCGUAAAAUUGCAGUUGAAACUGGCAGUCUUGAGUACAGUAGAGGUGGGCGGAAUUCGUGGUGUAGCGGUGAAAUGCUUAGAUAUCACGAAGAACUCCGAUUGCGAAGGCAGUUCACUGGACUGCAACUGACACUGAGGCUCGAAAGUGUGGGUAUCAAACAGGAUUAGAUACCCCUGUAGUC
This 460-nucleotide ribosomal RNA is filed under the name uncultured bacterium. RNAcentral describes it as "partial 16S ribosomal RNA". It matches the Rfam family "Bacterial small subunit ribosomal RNA", at positions 338 to 795 of the family's 1533-position model. The record is from RNAcentral.